GUCUUUGGUCACCAAAGCCCCUUUGCAGGGAGAGAGAGAUCAGCCCCUUCAAUUCUGAUAACUAUGCUUGGAGAAAGUGAGUGACACAGCUUCCUCAGCCAGCAAAGAGAGAUGUCCAGGCUGGAGAGCUUCCGUCCCUCCUCUACACACGUGCGAUGCCACCCCAUCCCGGCCUAUCCCCUGGGAGGGACUCCUUGAGGCCGGAUGGAACUAACACCACAAAGAUACCAGGGUCUCACUCUGUUGCCCAAACUGGAGUGCAGUGUGGUCUGAUCAUGGCUAAUUUCAGCCUGGAACUCUUGAGCUCAAGCGAUCCUCCUGCUACAACCUCCCAAGUAGUUGGGACCACAGGGCUGGGCUGAUGAUGAUGCCUCAGCUUCUACCUGGGAGACACCAGCGCUGGCACCAUGGGCAACUCGGGAGCCAACCAUGGAGAUUUUCCUGAAUCCUCGGCUCCUGGUGGGUCUGGACACCACGUGGCUCCCCCAUCACAGGAUUA
This is a long non-coding RNA of Piliocolobus tephrosceles (Ugandan red Colobus), 499 nucleotides long. RefSeq lists it as uncharacterized. The record is from RefSeq and is a predicted model, not a curated record. The transcript is spliced from 3 exons. Lineage: Eukaryota; Metazoa; Chordata; Mammalia; Primates; Cercopithecidae.